Molecule: long non-coding RNA, 1557 nt
Organism: Daphnia pulicaria
Lineage: Eukaryota; Metazoa; Arthropoda; Branchiopoda; Diplostraca; Daphniidae
Exons: 4
Source: RefSeq, a predicted model, not a curated record
UUCGUCGUUUUUACGGAAUGGAUUGAGGGAAAGGGUCGAUUUUUGGAAUGGGAGGAGUCGAUUUUUCUACCCGGGGGGAGGGGCCUACAAAAGUGUCGUCUGCUUUGUUUUGUUUGAUUCAAUCGUUAAGCAGACGCCAGACGUCACAGACACACUUUAAAAACACAACACCAACACAGGCCUGUCACUCAACGCAAGCCACACCGGCACUUCAGACUGGUUAACGCUUGAAGAUGGACCACAGUAGAAGGUAAUGUUGGUGUGAUAAAUCUCAGAAAGCUAUUUAUUUCUACAUCAAUUACAAGAUUUGUGUUAAUAAUAUAUUGUUGAAUAAAAAUUGGACCAUAUGAGAAAGAAGAUGGAAACCUCUGAAAGAGAUGCCACUAGCUUCCACUGUCCAUGCUGUAAAAAGAAUUUCAGUGAUUCAGAAGCUGACAGACUAUUUGAUCCUGCUGACCUGAAUGGGGAAUUCAAAUGCAAUUUCUGUGGUGCAGUGGUUGUUGAAAACGAAUUAGCCAUACUAAAGAAAUAUUUACGGCAGCAAAUGGCUUGGUUCAACAACCAAAUGAGAAAAUUUCCCCUGUACAAACUACUAAGAGAAGUUGAGGAUGUGAAACUGGCCCCAGCCUUGCUUGACCAAGACCCAAUGCUGAUACAACUCAUCUGCAAUUUUCCCAAAGCUAUGCCUUAUCUACAAAUCGUCUUUCACUAUUUGUAUAAGGAAUGCCAUUGGCAAACCCAAAUUCAAGGGAGCUACUUGCGAAAAUUGGUCGGGAGAGGCAACCAGAAGAGGUGUUUUCCGACUGGAUGAACAAAGCGUCUACGUCACUAUCGGUGAUUAUGUGGUUAAUUGUCAAGAAAGGAGUUCGCAAGGAGGAUGAGAGAAAGCACCGUCGAUAAUGAAGCUGCUACCAGCACCAAUGACAAUAUUGCUGGACAUGCGAUCAUUGACGAGAUGGAGCUACCUACUCUCUCUACGGAGAAGAAUCGCAACCAAGAAGACCUCAUGUCGGUCCUUAUGGAACUCGAAAAACCAAGUAGAUACAUAGGCCGCUGUUCCAGCCAAUUCAAGUGGUGUCGAGCUGAUGGACACUAACUCGGAAGAAGAAGUUUCUCUGGUGAGAGUUGGAAACUUGGAAUUCCCUGUUCAAGAAGUCCCAGCUGAACAGGUUGCCCAGAUGGCGGCUUCCGAAAAGGAUGCCUACGUCGACUUGCACUUCUUGUAACCAUUGCUACCUCUCGAUGAAUUUGUACUAAGGCUGUUUCGAUUCCUGGUGUAAGUUGUCUACUUCUCGCCAGAGGUCCCUGGUUUUCUCGAUCUCUGUUUUCUCAAGGUGCUAUUUGCUCGGUUUCUCAAAUGUGCGAAAGGCAAAGAAAAAAUUCUUCCUUUUCCGUUUUCUCCGUCUCUUUCGUUUCUUCUUCCGUUUUGCAUCUGUGAGACUUGAGACUUCUCAAAACAAAAUUUACAAACGCUACAGAUUCGAUUACACUUUGAUUAAAUUUUUCGCCCUUUUAUUCAAAAAUUGAAUUUGGAACAUAAUCAAAUCUUUUUUUUUA